Trifolium pratense (red clover) is the source of this 1043-nucleotide long non-coding RNA. RefSeq lists it as uncharacterized. The record is from RefSeq and is a predicted model, not a curated record. Lineage: Eukaryota; Viridiplantae; Streptophyta; Magnoliopsida; Fabales; Fabaceae. The transcript is spliced from 2 exons.
AUUGAGUUUGCUAUGUUUGGGGGUUCUCAAUUAAAAUUGAUUUCGCCUAUAGAAUUGAUUAACUUGAAGCUAUUUGUAGAUUUUGCCUUUAAACUUGAUUUUUUCACUCAAAUUCACUAUUUAGUAUUUACCUUCAACUUGCUCACUUACACAUGAAUGUAUCUAAACAUAAAUAAUUUUACCUUAAACUUGGUUUUAACUAAAAUCAAUUUUGGCCACUGUAGAACCGAACACACCACAUUCAUUCAGAAUCAUGUUUGUCAAACUAAGAUAUGUGCUUGUGGUUGUCUUUCCUCAAUUUUCUCUUUUUUUCUUGAUAGGUACGAAAUGUCAUGAUAGAAAAUAUUGACAAGGUUCUGGAUAGAGGUGAUAGAUUGGAAUUGCUGGUGGAUAAAACUACUGAUAUGCAAGGAAACACAUUUCGCUUCAGGAAACAGACUCGUCGUUUUAGAAGCGCUGUGUGGUGGAGGAAUGUUAAACUCACGGUCGCUCUUAUAGUCAUCCUACUUGUGAUAGCAUAUGUUGUGUUGGCUUUUGUUUGCCAUGGGCCUGCACUACCGUCUUGCUUCUAGUGAAGGGUUGAAAAGUGAAUUUAUGUGUGAUUUUAUACCGUCUCCAGUUUGCAAAGGUCGCUUCUAUUGUGGCGCAGACUCCCGUUUGUUUCAAUUGCUGGGCUGUCAACGUGUGUGCAGAUUUCUGGUGUUUUGGGUUGUAGUUAUUACAAGGUUUGAGGGAAAAAUAUUGUGCAUCAUGUCUUUUAUGUAUUAUCUUACAUACCACCCCAAAAAAUGGAUUGAACCGGAACAUGAUCGGGAUUUUGAGUUAUUUAAAGUGUUACUAUUAUAUCUUGGUAUAGUCAUUAAUGUUCUUCCCUUCUCUUUUUGUUUAAGAGAAGUAAGGGUAAAGUUUUGAAUUUCAUGGGUCCCUUCGUAGCUCAAUGAAGGGAGAUUGUUUAGCUUCGCUUGCCCCAUUGUUAUAUAUUUAUAUUUGCAAAGGUUCCUUUUUGUUUUGGUUUUCUGCAAUGAAAUAGUAUUAUCAUAUGA